GACGAACGCUGGCGGCGUGCUUAACACAUGCAAGUCGAACGGAAAGGCCCUGCUUUUGUGGGGUGCUCGAGUGGCGAACGGGUGAGUAACACGUGAGUAACCUGCCCUUGACUUUGGGAUAACUUCAGGAAACUGGGGCUAAUACCGGAUAGGAGCUCCUGCUGCAUGGUGGGGGUUGGAAAGUUUCGGCGGUUGGGGAUGGACUCGCGGCUUAUCAGCUUGUUGGUGGGGUAGUGGCUGACCAAGGCUUUGACGGGUAGCCGGCCUGAGAGGGUGACCGGCCACAUUGGGACUGAGAUACGGCGCAGACUCCUACGGGAGGCAGCAGUGGGGAAUAUUGCACAAUGGGCCGAAGCCUGAUGCAGCAACGCCGCGUGCGGGAUGACGGCCUUCGGGUUGUAAACCGCUUUCGCCUGUGACGAAGCGUGAGUGACGGUAAUGGGUAAAGAAGCACCGGCUAACUACGUG
RNAcentral lists this ribosomal RNA (468 nucleotides) under uncultured bacterium. RNAcentral describes it as "partial 16S ribosomal RNA". It matches the Rfam family "Bacterial small subunit ribosomal RNA", at positions 28 to 507 of the family's 1533-position model. The record is from RNAcentral.